Xenia sp. Carnegie-2017 is the source of this 1363-nucleotide long non-coding RNA. RefSeq lists it as uncharacterized. Lineage: Eukaryota; Metazoa; Cnidaria; Anthozoa; Malacalcyonacea; Xeniidae. The record is from RefSeq and is a predicted model, not a curated record. The transcript has 2 exons.
CAAUAACAAGAGUUGCUAUUAUUGAGCGAAGUCUCCAUUUCCAGAUAUUCAUGUAUCUAGGAAAUAAAAAUUGAAAAACUGCUAAAGAAACAUUUGAAAAAAUGCUCCUUAAAGAUUGAUGUCUCAAUUAAAGAUAAAAAUACAUCAAGCCCUCACUCGCAAGGACAGCACUAGAACGCUAAAUGAGGGGGUGUAUAUCCAUAUGUUCACUUGUGGGCGAGUGAUUUCUUUUGAAAGUGAUUUGGUUUUCUAAAGAAGUCACUGGGGCAAACUAAAUAUAUGAAUAUUCACCCCCUCCCCAAUUAGAGUUCUAGCGCCGUCCCUGCUCACUUGGGCUAUUUAUUGAAGAGCAAUCAAGAGAAGAUGCACGUUCAUCUAUUUCAUUUGUGCUUACAUAAAGUUUAGUCCAACUGCAGCAACAACGUUUAGAAGAGUGCGGAAGGAUACGCCCCAAUUUGAACUCUGGUUUUGAACUGUGUUGAAGAAGAAAACUUCAGCCUCGGGCCAACAAAAUCUUCCCCAAAAGUAGGAGUCAAUGGAAACAGUUAAACCUGACAUUGUUGUAAAUUAAGAAAUCAUAUAAAAAAUUGUUAAUUGGUGAAAUGAUUUUGCAAUGCAAAAGACAUACCAAGUGCCGCUAUGCCACUCAAGACAAUAUGGACAAAUGACCUAGCUAACGAAAUUCUUUGUUCAUAUAAUUCCAACAGCAUUAUCAAACCCAUUACUAUGGCCAGCUCAGCACGAAACAGUAUAAUUCCAAAACCAGAUAACCAUAUGAAAAAUGGAUGAUUUCCAGUAAACCAACAAUAAAAGGCACAAAGUGCUGUAAAAAAUAGGAAGAAACAUUUUUAAAACUUAUAAAUAUUAGAAAUAAAUUUUACAAAGAUUGUUGAUAUGUUGCUUGAUCUUACCAAAAUUUAAAGCAAAUGUGUUUGGUAAAGUUCGGGACAUGUAAAACACCAAAUGAAACUGACUUAUGGUCAAAAUUGCAAGAAAGUUGGAAGUAGUAGAGCCAAACUUUCUACCAACACCUCUUCGAAAAAGGGAAAAUGAUGCAGAUGAACAAACACCAAGAACAGACCGGACUGCAAUAACCAAAAGAAAAUAGGAUUAUUAUAAAAUUGAAAACUCUUCCUGCUGUAAGAAAAUUGACAUGGAUCGCAAGUAAUAUUCCCUGCAAUGGAUUUUGAAUGAAUAAAUAACUUGAGCCAAUGUACAAAGGGAGAAAAAAACACAAAUACAUACCUAUAAUUUGGGAAUACAUUUUUGAUGCAUUGACUACUUUUAAUAUGUUUAUAAAAGGAUAGCUGAGGAUAGCUAGGGAUAAUGGACCAAUAAAAGUCCUUGGUACAACUCCUGGAAA